Molecule: ribosomal RNA, 490 nt
Filed under: uncultured bacterium
Lineage: Bacteria
Description: partial 16S ribosomal RNA
Rfam family: Bacterial small subunit ribosomal RNA
Source: RNAcentral
AUUGAACGCUGGCGGCAGGCCUAACACAUGCAAGUCGAACGGUAACAGGAAGAAGCUUGCUUCUUUGCUGACGAGUGGCGGACGGGUGAGUAAUGUCUGGGAAACUGCCUGAUGGAGGGGGAUAACUACUGGAAACGGUAGCUAAUACCGCAUAACGUCGCAAGACCAAAGAGGGGGACCUUCGGGCCGCUUGCCAUCGAAUGUUCCCAGAUGGGAUUAGCUAGUAGGUGGGGUAACGGCUCACCUAGGCGACGAUCCCUAGCUGGUCUGAGAGGAUGACCAGCCACACUGGAACUGAGACACGGUCCAGACUCCUACGGGAGGCAGCAGUGGGGAAUAUUGCACAAUGGGCGAAAGCCUGAUGCAGCAAUGCCGCGUGUAUGAAGAAGGCCUUCGGGUUGUAAAGUACUUUCAGCGGGGAGGAAGGGAGUAAAGUUAAUACCUUUGCUCAUUGACGUUACCCGCAGAAGAAGCAACGGCUAACUCCGUG